Molecule: ribosomal RNA, 253 nt
Filed under: uncultured bacterium
Lineage: Bacteria
Description: partial 16S ribosomal RNA
Rfam family: Bacterial small subunit ribosomal RNA
Source: RNAcentral
UACAGAGGUCUCAAGCGUUGUUCGGAUUCAUUGGGCGUAAAGGGUGCGUAGGCGGCGCGGUAAGUCGGAUGUGAAAUCUCGGAGCUUAACUUCGAAACUGCAUUCGGUACUGCCGUGCUUGAGGACUGGAGAGGAGACUGGAAUUUACGGUGUAGCGGUGAAAUGCGUAGAUAUCGUAAGGAAGACCAGUGGCGAAGGCGGGUCUCUGGACAGUUCCUGACGCUGAGGCACGAAGGUCAGGGGAGCAAACGGG